CCUACGGGUGGCAGCAGUGGGGAAUAUUGCGCAAUGGGCGAAAGCCUGACGCAGCGACGCCGCGUGAGGGAUGAAGGUCUUCGGAUCGUAAACCCCUUUCAGCAGGGAAGCACGGUCACUGUGCUAAUCAGCAGUGAAUUGACGGUACCUGCAAAGGAAGCACCGGCUAACUCCGUGCCAGCAGCCGCGGUAAUACGGAGGGUGCGAGCGUUAAUCGGAAUUACUUGGCGUAAAGCGAUAGUAGGCGGUAUGUCAAGUCAAGGGUGAAAUCCCCGCGCUCAACGUGGGAACUGCCUUUGAAACUGGCAAACUGGAGUGUGUGAGAGGAUAGUGGAAUUCCAGGUGUAGGAGUGAAAUCCGUAGAUAUCUGGAGGAACAUCAGUGGCGAAGGCGACUAUCUGGCACAUAACUGACGCUGAGGAGCGAAAGCGUGGGUAGCAAACAGGAUUAGAUACCCCAGUAGUC
RNAcentral lists this ribosomal RNA (465 nucleotides) under uncultured bacterium. RNAcentral describes it as "partial 16S ribosomal RNA". It matches the Rfam family "Bacterial small subunit ribosomal RNA", at positions 338 to 795 of the family's 1533-position model. The record is from RNAcentral.